This 584-nucleotide long non-coding RNA is filed under the name Mytilus galloprovincialis (Mediterranean mussel). The record is from RNAcentral. Lineage: Eukaryota; Metazoa; Mollusca; Bivalvia; Mytilida; Mytilidae.
UACUUAGGCCAGGAUUUUUUAAUUUGUUGGUUUACGGAUCCGCCGACCCGAUUUUGCCGAUUCCUAGAAUAAAAAUAAAAUUGACUUUUCAUGCUUUUUUAUUCCCGCCGACCCAAACAAAUACAUUAUCCAUGAAAAAUAAUUAAAUGAUUCUUUUUUUAUGAAAUGAAAUGCAUGAAUCACUAACAAAAUUGAUAACACUCUCUGUUGUGAAAAAAUAAAACUUCCAGUUUACGUUUCUAAAAAUAGACAAAUCAAUUAUAACUGACUUGAAAUGUCGUUUACGCAAAUAAUUUUGCGGAACGAAAUCUGUGUUUAAAACCCAUUACACAAUAAGUUCGUUUCCCUUAUUUGUCAUCAGUCUGUAAGAUGCAUAAUCUCAUAAAAAUAGACUUGUCCACAUGGUCCAAAUGUGGACAGGUGGAAAGCACCUUGGAAGUAAAAGUUCUGAAUAUCAACAAGUCAUUUAGAAUUUUCUUGUUUCAUGGAUAAUAAAAAAAAUAUCGUCCAUUUGGAUAAGAAACGGGAAUGCAUGACACUAGAUUAUAAACCCGAUAUUCUCGUUUUUUCCGUGGACGAGUCUA